This 256-nucleotide ribosomal RNA is filed under the name uncultured bacterium. Its description in RNAcentral is "partial 16S ribosomal RNA". It matches the Rfam family "Bacterial small subunit ribosomal RNA", at positions 96 to 354 of the family's 1533-position model. The record is from RNAcentral.
UGGCGACGGGUGAGUAACGCGUGGAUAAUCUGCCCUACACAGGGGGAUAACAGCCGGAAACGGCUGCUAAUACCGCAUAGACUGUAUUCUCGCAUGAGAGAACAGGGAAAGAUUUAUCGGUGUAGGAUGAAUCCGCGUCCGAUUAGCUAGUUGGAGGGGUAACGGCCCACCAAGGCGACGAUCAGUAGCCGGCCUGAGAGGGUGGACGGCCACAUUGGGACUGAGACACGGCCCAAACUCCUACGGGAGGCAGCAG